This 237-nucleotide ribosomal RNA is filed under the name uncultured bacterium. RNAcentral describes it as "partial 16S ribosomal RNA". It matches the Rfam family "Bacterial small subunit ribosomal RNA", at positions 524 to 757 of the family's 1533-position model. The record is from RNAcentral.
UACGUAGGUGGCAAGCGUUGUCCGGAUUUACUGGGCGUAAAGCGUGUGCAGGCGGACCUUUAAGUAGGAAGUCGAAAGGUUGGAGCUCAACUCCAACACUGCUUCCUAUACUGGGGGUCUUGAGUGUCGGAGAGGAAGAUGGAACUACACGUGUAGCGGUGAAAUGCGUUGAUAUGUGUAGGAACACCAAAUGGCGAAGGCAAUCUUCUGGACGAAUACUGACGCUGAUAACACGAA